This 2204-nucleotide ribosomal RNA is filed under the name Actinomycetes bacterium. RNAcentral's name for it is "Actinobacteria bacterium partial 23S ribosomal RNA". It matches the Rfam family "Bacterial large subunit ribosomal RNA", at positions 1800 to 2925 of the family's 2925-position model. Lineage: Bacteria; Bacillati; Actinomycetota; Actinomycetes. The record is from RNAcentral.
CUGUUUACCAAAAACACAGGUCUCUGCGAAGUCGAAAGACGACGUAUAGGGGCUGACGCCUGCCCGGUGCCGGAAGGUCACGAGGAGAGGUUAGCCUUCGGGCGAAGCCUUGAAUCCAAGCCCCGGUAAACGGCGGCGGUAACUAUAACCGUCCUAAGGUGACAUGGCUUAAAAGGACAGUAGUCCUUGAAGGCCAAUUACGUUGCCCCCCGCGUCGGUAACGGCGUGGUGUGCAUCUGGCUAUAUGCUGGAAAACCCGGUUGUAUCCCGCACUACUCGUGUUGUCCGAGCGGACAUCUACAGUGACAAAGUGUCGGGUGCGGAAAAUCAGCAGGAAAGGCUGAUCGAGUUCCGUGGUUGGGUGAUCGGUUUCGUAGACGGAGAAGGGUGCUUCUCAAUCGGUUUCGUGCGGCAACCAAACCGCCCGGGCCGAAAGGGCUACAAAACCGGUUUCCAGGUGUCUCACGAAUUCGCGGUCACGCAAGGCGCUUCUGGCAUUGCGUGCCUCGAAGAUCUUCGUGAGUUCUUCGGCGUAGGUGAUGUGAUUCCCAACAGGCGGUAUGACAACCACCGGGAGCACAUGUAUCGCUACGUCGUACGUCGCCGCGAGGAUCUACUGGAGACAGUUAUUCCGUUCUUCAGCAAGUAUCCGAUGCGGAGCCCGAAGCAGCAGAACUUUCAGAAGUUCGCGCGCUGCGUCGGGCUGAUCUCCUCAGGCCGUCACAAGUCGGCCGAAGGUCUCAUCGAGAUCGCGGAGAUCGCGCAAACGAUGAACCGGAAGAAACCCAGACACGAUCUGAUCAGAAUCCUCAGAGGCCAUACGCCAGACAUCCGGGACACCGGAUGAUGAGAUGGUCCCGUCUGCAUGGCGACAUGCAGGGAUGCCAAUCCAAAGGAAGUUGGCGUCCGCCUAAUUGACGUUAGGUAAGACCUCUAGCGAAAUUCCUUGUCGGGUAAGUUCCGACCUGCACGAAUGGCGUAACGACUUGGGCGCUGUCUCAACGAGGGAUCCGGUGAAAUUGUAGUCUCGGUGAAGAUGCCGAGUACCCGUGGUUGGACGGAAAGACCCCGUGCACCUUUACUACAGCUUGACGUUGGAGUCUGGGAUUCGUUGUCCAGGAUAGGUGGGAGGCUGUGAAGCGGGGACGCCAGUCCCCGUGGAGCCACCCUUGGGAUACCACCCUUCGAAUUCUGGGCUUCUAACCAGGGACCGUUAUCCGGCCUUGGAACAGCGUCAGGUGGGUAGUUUGACUGGGGCGGUCGCCUCCUAAACUGUAACGGAGGCGCGCAAAGGUUCCCUCAGCACGGUUGGAAAUCGUGCGUAGAGCGUAAUGGCAUAAGGGAGCUUGACUGCGAGACUGACAAGUCGAGCAGGUGCGAAAGCAGGCCAUAGUGAUCCGGCGGUAAAGCGUGGAAUUGCCGUCGCUCAACGGAUAAAAGGUACGCCGGGGAUAACAGGCUUAUCCUUCCCAAGAGUCCACAUCGACGGAAGGGUUUGGCACCUCAACAACAUCUGGGGUGGGCCGGCAGAGAUGCCGGUCAUGAAUCGGCUAAUAACGGUGGAGCCCACGCCUGUACACAAGUUGGGUAAUACCGUGGGAAGUCUGUCGGAAGUGUUGACCAGUUUCGAACAAGCACUCCGCAAGUGACCCCGUAACGACUGAGGCCGCAAGGCCGAGGUGGUGUUCUUGCUCCACAGGAGCAAAUCUAUGGACGCCACAAUACGCCGACCCCUCGCCUUUGGUCAGGCAGGGUGGAGAUAUAGUCUGCGCCGCCGGUAACGGCGGAAUAAAGCGCGAUGUCGGCUCGUCGCAUCCUGGGGCUGGAGCAGGUCCCAAGGGUCGGGCUGUUCGCCCGUUAAAGCGGUACGCGAGCUGGGUUCAGAACGUCGUGAGACAGUUCGGUCCCUAUCCACCAUGGGCGCUGGAAGCUUGAGAGGAGUCGCUCCUAGUACGAGAGGACCGGAGCGAACAGACCUCUGGUGUAUCAGUCGUCGUGCCAACGGCGCUGCUGAUUAGCCACGUCUGGAUGGGAUAACCGCUGAAAGCAUCUAAGCGGGAAGCCCACCUCGAGAUGAGGCUUCCCAUCCCCCAGAGGGAGUAAGAGCCGUGGGAGACCACCACGUUGAUAGGCGGGACGUGCAAGCGUGGCAACACGUUCAGCGGACCCGUACUAAUUGCUCGAGGUCUUGAUUUUUGAACACC